RNAcentral lists this ribosomal RNA (397 nucleotides) under uncultured bacterium. Its description in RNAcentral is "bacterial SSU rRNA". It matches the Rfam family "Bacterial small subunit ribosomal RNA", at positions 28 to 428 of the family's 1533-position model. The record is from RNAcentral.
GACGAACGCUGGCGGCGUGCUUAACACAUGCAAGUCGAGCGGUAAGGCCCUUUCGGGGGUACGACGAGCGGCGAACGGGUGAGUAACACGUGGGUGACCCGCCCUCAGCUCUGGGAUAAGCCUGGGAAACCGGGUCUAAUACUGGAUAUGACUCCAUGACGCAUGUUGUGGGGUGGAAAGCCUUGUGCGGCUGAGGAUGGGCCCGCGGCCUAUCAGCUUGUUGGUGGGGUGAUGGCCUACCAAGGCGACGACGGGUAGCCGGCCUGAGAGGGCGACCGGCCACACUGGGACUGAGACACGGCCCAGACUCCUACGGGAGGCAGCAGUGGGGAAUCUUGCGCAAUGGGCGAAAGCCUGACGCAGCGACGCCGCGUGAGGGAUGACGGCCUGGUUGUAA